UACAGAGGUCCCGAGCGUUGUUCGGAUUCACUGGGCGUAAAGGGUGCGUAGGUGGUGAGGUAAGUCGGAUGUGAAAUCUCCGGGCUCAACCCGGAAAUGGCAUUGGAAACUACCUUGCUGGAGGAUUUGAGGGGGGAUUGGAAUACUUGGUGUAGCAGUGAAAUGCGUAGAUAUCUGGAGGAACACCGGUGGCGAAGGCGGCAUCCUGGACCGGCAUUGACGCUGAGGCGCGAAAGCCAGGGGAGCAAACGGG
This 253-nucleotide ribosomal RNA is filed under the name uncultured bacterium. RNAcentral's name for it is "partial 16S ribosomal RNA". It matches the Rfam family "Bacterial small subunit ribosomal RNA", at positions 524 to 776 of the family's 1533-position model. The record is from RNAcentral.